CUAGGUUUGUGGCAGAACAUUUUUUAGCCAUAAUAAAUGUUUUAGAGUUUCGUGCAGUCACAUACAUGUGUGGAUAUAAUUUGGAUAUAAUUUUAUGUGUACAAGACACGCUUCCAUGCUUAUUGCUGGAAAUUUUCCUUCUGUGUCUUCAAAUCAUGGAAACAAAUUCUGUUACCACACUGAUUGUUGCCCUUUUUGGGUUAGUACCAAAAUCCGGGCUUUACUAAAUGAUACCACCAGGAUUUUGGUUGGUUGUUUUGAAUUGCAGUUUCAGAACCAGGAACAUCCAGUUGGAUCUCUUUGCAGAAUGCUUUAGCAUUAGUACCUGAAGUUUUUCCUCCACACCAACAUGCUGCACCAACUAGGACAUGCUGGGAUUUCCUUUUGACGCUUCCCACAGGGACCAUUCCGGCUGCUGCUUCUCACUGCCUGUUCGGAUAGGCUCUGGGGGCCACCUCAGGUUAGGAAAUGCUCUCUGUAAAUAACGGUGUCUUAAAGUUGAGACUUUGCAGCUGUUGGAGAGGUUCCUACAGUGAGCUCUUAAUCAUUUUCUACUAAGCUAGAGGCCUGAUGGAGAAGACGCCAGCCUGCCAGAGCUCUUCCACUGGCAAAGCAGCGGGGUGAGCAUUGGGGUGGGACCGAGCCCCUGCUCGUGCAGGUGACACGGCCGCGUGCCUUUGCUGUGGCUCUGCCUGCUUGCUGCAGGGUCAGCUCAUGGCACCACUGCUGCAAAGGUGGGGGAACUGCAGCAGUGUGAAAUGAAACUGCUUAAUUGCAACUCCACAAAGUUUUAACUUGGCUUUUAGCAUUUUUUUUUCCACCGUUGCUAAAAUAAUUCUUGGGGAGAAAUAAAUAAUGUUAUUUGUUUUCAAUUUCCCAGCUUACACUUGAAACAUAAGUAAAUGCACAUGUAUGUUUUUUCUAUACAAUAUAACUUUGAACCAAGUAUUAAAAAUAUUUCAUUUAUGCAAUGACUAGGUGCAUUAAUUGCUGUUUUCAGAAGCUGGAAUAGCUGAAAUGGUUAUCAGACUCAAGUCCAAAUCUACAGGCAUAAAUGUCAUCUCUUGUUUUACAUGGGAAGACAAAAUUGAUUUCAAAAUCCUGUUUUCAAUUCUGGACACAGAACAUUAGAAACGAGGAGUUUGCUCAGGCUUCUCAGAAGUGUUGGCUUAGUGAGAUUCUUUGCUAUGCUUUGGGUUUCAAGAUGGUGUUGCAUACAAGCAACGUGAGAAGACAAGGUCUGGAAGGAGAAAUAAUACAUUCAUUGCAGAAUCACAUGGAUUCAGAGGUGCAAUCCUGAAGAAAGAGUAUUCUGAGUACUGAAGAAGAGUAUCCCGCUAUUCUCUGAAGCCACUGUCUGGUACAGGAAAUGGUAAACUUCGGGACAGACCCAGUAGCUUGAGCCAUGCACACAGCAAUAGCAGAAGCAAAAGUUCUUUACAAGGAACCAGCUUUUGACCAGUGAGAGAGGGGAAACAUCCCCAUGGUAUAAGGAAGAUUCUCAAGAUUUUUCAACAGAAGAUAAAGGAAAAAAGAGAUGGUGGGAAGCUGCGUCACACUGGGGAGGCUGAUGGAGAUCACUGGAUGAGCAGCUACUGAAAGGUGUGCCAGGACAGGAAACUGCAUUUGUUUUCCGCUGAGGGAGAAGCCUUUGAUGCACAGAGGUUGAUCAGACUGGGGAGUUUCUGCCAUUUCUGUGACGAGGCUGUGGGCACCUCUUGGCUGGCAGCUCCUGUACCGGUUGCUGCUGGGCACAGCGGGUGUCUGGAGAGGGCCUGGUGUAGCAACGAGGAGCACGUCCUGCUGCAUGUCCAUGGAAAUCUCUCUGAAGUUGAACCUAAUUUGGAAGAUGUUCCCUGAGCAUCCAGAAGUCUUCUAAUAAAUGAGGACCUGUCCCUUGUGUCAAAUGCUGCAUAAACUUGGAAAGAACAGCGUGUCCUGCCCCACCACGACUUGCAGACAACUGAAUUUUGUUCUUUCAAAUCUAACUAAAGGAAGCAGUGGCUGCGGUGCUAUUUGUAUGCUCCUCAACAUUAGCUGAACAGUCAAAGAAACCGACAGAAUAACCGUUGUGUGGGGCAAUUGGGCUGGGCUGGACAUGUGUCCGUGUAAGCAGCUGUUUGAAGCGUGGGAAUACCAGUGCUGGCAGCCAGUUCCUCUUCACCCGCGUGUCUCCUUGGAUAACAUCCUCACAUCACAUCACAGCGGCGUUACAGGAAGGAUGCAGGAUAUCACGUCUGCAAGCGAUACUGAAUGAAUGUUUUUUCUUUUCUUCAGGACAGUUGACCAGAAGCUUAAAAGUGGGGACAGGGAUACCUUUUCAAGUAACAGUGUGAUGGAAUGCAAGCAAGAACCUGAAAUGUUUUCUUUGAAUGUGGAUUCCUCUAUUCCAAUAAGGCCUGGUUGUCACCAGCUCUAUUUCACCACAAAGGCAUAACGCUCACUUCUCCAUGAAAUGGGAGUGUCAGAUCUAAACUCUGGCAGUUGUGACUUAAAACAGUAAAGCAGCAUUGGAAAUUCCUGAGAUAGAAACUUACUCUGUUGGGAUGUCCUGUGCAAGAAGAUUUGUCAGAGAUACCAGCCCAAGCCAUGCUCCGCCAGGCCUGCUAGCAAAGCUGACAAAGGCUCGCAAGGAGGGUAGAAAAGAGGAGGCAUCGUGUGACUCUGCAGGGCUUUAAACAGCAAUCUCUGUGAUGCCCUGAGAGAGGUUACACGAGAAGCUCUGAAUACCUGUGGUCCAGCAGAAAGCAUUUCUGAGGGACUAAGCGGCUCAGGCCAGUGGAUAGCAGUAUUACACCUGCUACAAGAAGGCACCAGUGGAGAGCUCUGAGCCUGGAGGUGAGCCUGAGCAGUCCAAGACAAAUAGACGUAGCAGGAGAUACAGACUACAAAUAGGAACAUCGUAUAGCCCAGGUAUGAAGAUGGAGAAUAAAGAUGUUAGUUGAGAAACAAAAAAUGCAUGUUGCUUGUUUGAAGCAGCAAAACAUCAGUAGGCAUCUUUGGUGGAGGCUGAAAAGUCAGCAAAGAGCAAAGGCACAAGUCGGGGGAAGACUUAAUUCUGACACCUCACCUGAACUGAUCUUCUGUUAACAGGUUUAAAGAUCCAUGUUGUUGCACUUUCCUGGAUGGAAGAGUUUCCUAGAGACUUCUCAAAAAGACAGCAAAGGGCAGACCUGCAGCUCGGAGGCCCCACUGAAGUCAAUAUGACAAACACUGCUGCUAAAAGACUUUGUUGAACUUGAGGACCAGAUUUGCAACUUCAAACAUGAGAAAUAAGUUCAGAAUAAGCACUGUACCUCACACCAGACAUCACAGGGAAUAGUACAUCUUUUUCUCCCCCUACACCCAUCCACUCAGGAUAAUCAGCCACCAAAGAAACUUUUCUCUUAGUCAUGCUGAACCUCUCUCUACCUGCUUGAAAUUCUCGUGCCCUGGUGUUCUGAGCUCUCCUCUGCUGUGCAGAGUCUCUGCUGGCCUGGGAAGAACAUCGUGGAUGCAUUUGGUGUACUCUGGUCCUCUCCGUGUUGAAUCAGUCUAACUGUCCAUGAGAGUAUUUGAAUUAAAGAGCAGCGCUCCAUGGACAGUUGUGCAGAGAAGACUGAGGGAUGGGAUUUUUUCAAAGGGAGAGGUUUCAGUGCUGGCCACUUUUGUAUUGGUUCCAAGAAGCCUGCAGUUUCUCUGCUGCCUUUUUCUGCUUGCAAACAGCAGUUUACCAGCACCCUGAGAACACCAGGGGGUAGGAUGGCCAGCAUCUUAGGUGGGCUGUUCAUCUUAUUUCUGUUAAUGGUGGGCAGAAAGCAGAAGCUGAUGUGGCUCUGUUGGCUCCAGCCCUAGAGCAAGUGCUUGGUUCAUGCGCGCUGCCCCAUCUGUGUUGUACGCAGACGGGCACUGACAGACACGCAACUUCUUGUGCCUACAAACCAGAGGAAAUCAAGGGAUAAGGGCACAUAGCGUAGAAGGGAAGAGCAUCACUGGAUUGUCACACUCACCACCAUACUCACAGGACCUCCUUUUCCUAUGAUCUCUUCCUCUGGGAAUGUUCAUUGCCCCUUUGAUGACUCUUUGCUGAGAAUACCGAAGAUGACAAAUGCUCUGUUUCAUUAUGGCAAUACAUAACUUGACUUUGAGACGGAUCACAGAUUGCUGUCUGACAUUUCUACAUUUCAACUGUUGCAAGUUUUUCAGCAAACAGUGAAGGAAGAAGACAGAGCCACCAUGUUAAAUGUUAAUUUGCUUUUCUUCUCCCUCUGGAGUCCAGAUGUGUGAACAUCUGAGCCCCUGAAGUUGCCAACAGUCAAUGCAGAUGCAUGCAAGCAAGGAGGCUGGAAGUACUGGAAGCCUUUCAGAUGUGCACAACAAAUGGAUCCAUCUGCCUUUAGAGAGCACGAAUGGGAAGAGCCUUGGGGAGAAGCUACAACAGCACAUGGAGGAGGAGGGCAGCACAGUCUGGCUGGACAUCUGCGCCAGCCGUGGUACUCCAGGGACUUGCGAGGAGGAGAGAAGCUGUGCCUGCAAGGAGCAGCUAUUCCUCCAGUGAUGCUAUUUAGAAGAGCUGGCUUGGAGAAGCCAAGCUAUUAGAGGAUGUCACCCAUACAGUGCUGCAAAUGGGAGCAGGUGUGCAGGUGCUGCAAGAACAGGGAAGAAAAAUCUGAACACACUCAAUAGUGAACUCUCAAAUGUCUCUGUCAUCAAAUGAAACACACAACCAUUCUCACCCUGAAGUGUCUGUGCCAAAUGUUAUCAUGCUUAAGAAUCAGCUGACGAUGGAGAGAGAAGAAAAUAUACCAAAGAGAGACAAACACGUCCUGAAUCAGAAAGCUCCCGUGCACGCUCACACAAUGGGAACACUGUUACAAACCAUUUCUGACUAGUUUAUGGAGCCUUCAGACAGAGAAGCUAGUGGUAAACCUGGGAAAUGCUUACAUGCUAUUUAAAGAAGUGCUGUCCUGGUCCUCACGUUGGCUGAGAUGGCUCCCUUCAUGCAGAAGGCAGUCUAAUAGACUUGCUCUUUCCACUGUGGCCAGAAAUUAGCCAAAGUCCUAAGAAAAUCGGUAUAAGAAGUAUGUUUCUGAGCUCCGGAAUGCUGAUCUGCACUGGGCCACGUGAGGCAGAACCUUGCAGGCCAAGAGAAAAGGCACUUGGGAAGUCUGCUAAACCCAGGAACAAAGGAUGGAAAAUACCAUAACAUCUGAGGUACUACUGCUGCAUCCACCUGUCUCCAGCCUCUGCAAGCCCCUCUCACUCCUACAGCUGGACCUGGGCUGCCUGACAACUCGAUUGUCUUUCAGUCAGGUUUGGCCUCCCCCGUGGCUGAAAGGUGCAUUGCUACAGUGGAACAGACUGUUCCCCGUGCACAGCUGCAGCGUGGGAUCACAAGGAGACCGGGCACAGCAGCAGGAUAUUUCCAUGCUGCAAACCAGUCCCGGGCUCUGGGGAAGAAGCUUAAAAUUGAUCCCUAGGAGUUUAACUGGAAAAAGCUGAAGGAAAGAAAAGCAUAAGCAAGCAAGGAGCAGCAGUGAGCAUGGUGAAGAUGCUGUGGUAAUGCAGGUCGAGCAGUCCUUGGUAGACCAGCGCACCACUAACAGGGAGAAGACGAGCAGAAAACCUUUAAAACUUAUUAUCACCUCCAGACGAGGCAGGCUGAAGAAGACAGAGUAGUCAGCUGUUGCAGCAGCACAGUGAGAAUGAUCUAAAUGCUGGUCCCACACUGCAGCCACUGUGACUAGGUGAGAAAAUCACAGCCUGUAGGACACCAACAUUUGAGAUUUACCCUCGGGAGACACUGUUAGCGAUUAUUAUUUGUUAUUUCCACCACAGAAGACUGGAAACCUCAAAUCUCACUGCCUUCAAUGCAAAGGAAGAGAGAACAAAACCCUACUAAUGAAAUGAACAGUGAGUGAUAUGAUUGCAAAUAAAGUGAGACAGCUGUGUGGGCUGUAAGCUGUGGAGAUGGUGCAAACAGUUGCUUAAUUUGUUUUUGUUUUUUAAAAAAAUAGAGUAGUUCAGUUGGAAGGGAUUUACAAAAAUGAUGCAGUCCAACGGCCUGUUGAACUCAGGGCUAAACAAAAGUCCAAGCGUGUUAACAAGGGCAUUGCCCAAAUGCCUCUUGAAUACCAGCAGGCAUGGGACAUCAGCCACCUCCCUCAGAAGCCUGUUCCAGCUUUGGCACCCUCCCAGGACAGGAUCUUUGUCUCGUGCCCAAGCUGUCCCUCCCCUGCUGCAGCUCCAUGCUGUCCCCGCACCGGGGUCCCCAGGGAGCAGAGGCUGGCGCCUGCCUCUGUGCUUCCCCUCCCCAGGGAGCUGCAGGGAGCAGUGUGGCCACCCCUUGGCCUCCUCUCCUCCAGGCUGGGCAGCCCAGGUGUCCUCAGCUUCUCCUCUCAGGACGUGCCCUCCAGCCCCUUCACCAGCUUCGCCGUGCUCAAGCACCUCAGGGACCUUUUUAUAUUGAACUUCAGAACUCCACGUGAUGCUCAAGGUGAGGCUGCAGCAGCACAACAUGCCGCAGGGGAAUCCCCUCAGGGGCUGGCCAUGCUGUGCUUCGUGUGCUCCAACGUGUGGCUUGUCCCCUUGGCUGCCAGGGCUCCUGCUGGACUGCUGCCACUGCCCCCCCAGCCCCUUCCUGCUGAGCUGCCCCCCAGCCCUGCUCCAUCCCAGGGGCAGCACCCGGCGUUCCCUGUGCUCAGCUUCAUGCUGCUGCUCAUUGCCUGCUGCCCCAACAUAGCCACAUCCCUCUGCAAGGCCCCUCGUCUCUUGACCGUGAACAGCAGCUGAGACUGAAAUGAGUUCUGAGAAUUGAACCCACAGAGAGGCUCAGCAGUGUGGAAGCAAGAACGGGUGGAGUAAUUUGACUUCUAACAGCAAGAUGCUACACAGAGUGGAGAGGAGCCACUAAGGAUGCAGCACUCCCCAGGAUCACACCAAGGAUUACUUCUGAGCCAUCCUUCUCUCUGGCAGCCAGGAGCCAAGAGCCAUACUCGCCUAACUAAUGAGGCAAACUCCCAGAUAAGGUCCCCCACAGGCUUUAAUUAAACCAUCUCAAUACCUCUGCUGUUUUUCAUCCCUGUUUCAGCUGCAAGGUGGGGUGUGCUGUCCCGGGCACAACAUCCUCAGGUUCCCAUUCCAGCCCAGCUCUGACGAUGUGUUGCUGCCAGCCGGUGCACCGACACGCACCUCCGUAAGGGUGGGCUGUGUGGGAAGAUGAAACAGCAUUUGGAUGUAUUAGCACGAAUAUCAAGCUGCUGUUGAUGUCAUGUUGUAUAAUUUUGUAUUUCUUAUUUUUUUCUUCAGGCAGAUAGUUGUCUUGAGAAUUUAAGCAGGUGCAUAGUUAGACUGAGACUUUCAGAACAUACAUUUUGGUCUUUAGUUCUUAACUAAUUUAGCUCCAGGGACAAUUUCUAGUAAAAUGCUGCUUGGAAACCUUUGUGACUGGAAGCUCCCUACCAGGGAGUGUUAUAUUUGUAACUGCCUAUUUAGAUACUGAUCUAAUGUUGAGAGGGUUAUGGUAUUUUUUGGUUUUGUUUUUAAAACCCACUUAGACCUAUUUUCACAGAGUACUCUUCGGGUGUCUAAUACAGGAAAAUGGCAGGUCCUGUAGGAAACUAUCUGAGAUCUCAGUAUUUCAGGAUAAGUUCUGUCUUAGAACUUCACUUUCUCUUAGUGGCCUCCAGAAAAGGAGUUCCCUACGCACAAAAUAAACACAUUGAAAGUCCCCAAAGUGAUGAAUUUGAACACUUCACAUGGAAUAUUCAGGGAAGCUUUUUUCCCCCCUGAACCUUGAGACACACUUUGCUUUCUUGCACGUUCCCAAAAUGCCCAUCAUCUCAGGGAAUAUGGAUUUCAAGGCUCAUAUUCAGUUGGACUGACUAAUUACUUGUGUUGUAAUGAUCAACCUGCCUAAUUUAUCACUUCUUUGAACAUUUAAUUAGCCAACAGUGCAAGACAAUUAGGUUCUGAAUUAGGAUAAAUUAAAAUGCUAGCUUUGCAGCUUUAAGGAUGUGCAAGCCACCACCAAUUGCUGCUAUGAAAAUAUUCAACAAAGCAGAUAAGAAUGCGAAGAUCUCAGCCAGGUUAAUGAUUCUGAAGUAACACAGCCUUUGAAAAGCUAACUAUGAAAUGUUAUGUUUCAUCACAUGUCAAUCUGUCUGUGCUGAAAGACAAAACCAAGAAGCUAAAAAUGGCAGUUUCCUCCUCCUCCCUGCACAGCUCCAGCUCCCACUGGCUCAUCCAACCACCCGCUCCUCUGCUCCUACCCCUGGGUCUCAGAGAUCCCACUUCAAUUCCCAUAUGCAUCCACUCAGGGGCAAGGUCACAUUUUGCUUUCCUGUAAGUGAAACACUAAUCUGUGUUCCUAAGUACUCUAAAACUGCUUUGGAACUGUCCCAGUAUCAGGCACGUAAAUGUUUUUGAACAGAUAUAAGAUAAUAAAACUGACUAUAGAGCUCUAAUAGGAAAAACGAGCAUUGGAAAUGGCUUAAGAUUAGUAGUCAGUGGAGAUGCUUUGGUAAAACUAGCAGAAGUGCUUUCAUUAUGUUUGCUGUCAUUUGGUUUCCAUGACUAAGCCAUUGUAAUAAACUGAAAAGGACCAGGGAUAAUACUUUCAAAGGUGCUCAAGAAUCACAGGCCUAAUUCUUGCUGUUUUUUCAAGAGACUCCUUCUCAGUCUCACACCUGCAGCAUGUAUUGAGGUGCCUGAUUUGUAUUUUCUCAGGAUUACUGUGGAAAGGAUGGGACUCUUGUCUUUGUAUGUUUGGUUAAAGCUGUGAUAGAAAAAAAUUGAUUGUCCAAAUCUUUGGGCUGUUUUGAAGUCUGAGUCUUUGUUCUUGAGGUCACUAUUGAAAUAGUCACCACACUGAAGGCACAUGCUUGUAGUACAGAGAUAAGGACCAGUGGAUGCAUUUCUUUCUUAUCUAAUGAAUGUGACUCUACAAAUGCAUUCAGAGUCUCCUGAAGAGCCCUAAGAGAUGCUCACAUACAUCUCUUAAUCGAGUAUAAGGCACCGAUUGAUACGGACACAAGUGGUUCUGAACAGCAAUCCCAGUUCCAAAUAAUUCUGACAACAUUUUUCAACGGUGUAUUUAGUGCUAAUUAGUCCAUUUUGGAUUGUUUGCCCAAACUACACAAUAAUAUCACUUCAUUAAAAAGGCUUCAAUUAAAGAAGAGAGAAAAAAGUUCUCAUCAGAAAGCUAUCUGCACGCAUUAUACAAGCAUUCUCAAAUUAGAGAUGAAAUUACAGCCUUCCUGUUACCAUGAGAACAGCAACAUUUCUCGCAGCCUGUUAAAAUUAUUAACUCAAGGAGCAUAUAUCUUUUUAAAUUUCAUUAUUAUUUAUUUGGGGUUGCACAAGCUUUGGCUGGGCCCACGCUAACCACUAUUAAUCACAUAUCAAGUGAACUAUUGCCAGCAUGGAGAGAGCCUCCACCAUUUUUUGCCAGCAGCUAUAAUUAGCUUUUAUCCUUCUGUUGCCUUUUUUUUUGUACUAGCAGUGUGUGGACAUUAAGGCAGAAACUGUUAUAAUGAAAAAAAAAACAAAAAGCAAAAAACAAAAACCAACAGAAAAGCUUAUGUCUCCAGGAAUCUUACAGCCUGUGCUCCAGAGCAGCUGGCGAGUUCAGCGGUGGUCUGAGUUCAAUGGUGUGGGGAAAAGGAAUGGUGGCGAGGGCUCAAAACACUUUGCUGCCAGCCCGUGCUUCCUGCGGGUUUCGCUGAUGGCAUCAGGUCACGCAAGAGCCUGAGUGUGAUGCAGCGACGUGCAGAGGCCAGCCUCGCUCGGGCAGGACAAGGGCUGCACGUUCUCCCUUCUGGCAGCGAUUCGAUCCUCGGGUGUGCGGCUGCCCUGUGCUCUCCUUCUCACCUCAGCAGCAAUCCUAACAGUUUGCCUUCAGCAGGGAGAAGGUGGAGGAAAGCUGCUGGGAGCAUUUGGCUCUGCGCAAGGAAGAUUAACGGCAGGAGUGAGGGUCUGCACCAGAGAGCCUGCUGUCAGCGUGUGCUGUCGGCAAAGCUGGCCUGAUUCAUGCCAUAUUUCAUGUGCUUCGCCUGCCCUGGUGGCUCAAAGGAGAUGAAGGGGACAUUCUGAAAAUGGGUCCAGCUGCCUCGUUACCCGCCAACACCAGAGUCGCUGAGGCUGCCUGGGCCAUCCAUCAUACUCCGGCUCCCUCCUGGCUGCCAGCUUUCAGGUUAUUCCAGGAGAGGGCAACUCAUUCGGGUGGAUGUCGGAAGAAUUCACACAAGCCUGAUCUACUAGACCAGCUCAAACAAGCCAGCCCAAGAUGUACAGCACGAGCAUGUGUUAGUACGCCUUGUCACAAGUUGAGCCCUUUCGGUGGACACGUUGGCUCUGAGGUGGUUGGGCCACACACUACAGACUUCCUGCACUCUGCAAGCGCAAUGCAAGGUUCUUGUAAUGUUGGAAAGCCAGAGCCCUGAGAACUGGGUGCAGAACAGGAGCUCCCUGCUGGUGCUUGCCAGCAGACCAGGAGGAAAACAGCCCCAUGACAGCAGCCCAGUAGGGAAGAGAGUGCAAGUGAGGAAGGGCACUUGGUUGGACCACUCGGGUCUCAUCUGCAUGAAAGAAGCUGUGAUAUUUUUAUUAAAAUGAAAGGUAAAGCUGCUCAGGGAGGAGGCCGGUGGUCCAUGCAGUCCGUGCCGUCAGACGAUUGGCAUCUGAACCUGUUGGCUGGCUUUUCGUUUUGGCCACUUCCAUGGCUGAAGACGUGAAGUGUGCCACGAGAAAGCUCAAAGGUGACAUACCUCGGGGUUGAAGCAUCCCAUGAGCGUGGUUGUGCUGAAUCCCUUCCUGCCAGGAUUCCUCCAAAACUCCCAGGGACUCCAGCCUGAAUAGCGAUGCUAGAAGACAAAAGGCAGAAGAGGAUGAAACUCUGCUUUUCAAAGGUCAAGCAGCAUCAGUAAUGAGAGCUGCACGUAGAGACAUCUAGCACAGGUCCUGAAAUCCUUGCCCCGGUACGGCGGCUCCACGACGCGUGGCAGCGCAGUUUGUGCCUUGCAGCAGAGGUGGUGCCAGGGAGCAGCGUGGAGCUGGUGCAGAGGAAUACUUACUAAGAGGAAUAUUUCUGUGGUAAAUAAUUGUCUUUGCCAGAACAAGUGAAAAGGAGGUGUGCCCAUGCCAUAAACCUGCACGCUUCCCCCAGCACACCCUUGUGUUUGGCCAUGCUGCUGCCAGGGAGGGGAGCUGGCUGGGUCUGUGUUUAUCCCAGCUGAGGCAAUAAGCUGGGACACGACCACCUAGAAGACCACACGUUCUGGUGCUUCACACCUUCAGGAGCUUUAUGAUUUUGGGACUUCAGCCUCCAUCUCCACGUUUUUUGAAAUCCAACAGAAGAAGUACGUUGUGUGAAAAGUCUCAAGUAAUAAAUCCAAAAGGGUCAAGAAACACCAGGGAAAUGCCGUAAUUCUGUGAAUGAUGAUUUAAAUCCAGCAUCUGCUCUUCAGCCCAGUCUGACCACAGGACCAUGGGGGCUGUGGGGCUGGUGAUGUUGCCGUCAGCACCAAGGCCCAUUUCCAGUGCUCUCAGAGUAUAAAGAAGACAGUACACACGUGCCCGCCUGCCCUGGGACAUGCUUUCUGUCGGUCUCCCUUCCUGAGCACUCUUCAAAGUCUUGGGUUUUCGUGACUAUGUCGUUAAAAGGAAAAGCAUUUGUUGCUUGUGUGAAUUUAGGCCAAAGGCCUUCAGGGGACAACGUGAUCUGGCACCGCAGGCACAAGUAGACGUAGAGCCAGACCUGGAAUCUGUGAGGCCCAAAGCUGAGGAAAACAUGGAGAAGCUGUGUGCCUGUGUGUUGCAAAGCAAGUAUUUGUAAUGUAGGGGUUAGUAAGGAUUUCCACGAUAGGUUUCCAUUUAGAAAAUCAGACCUUCAGUGAGUAUAAAAUGGAGUGCUAUUUUCAAUUUCAGUUCAUAAUUUGAUGUAAUUUGAACUAAAUAGUUGGAAGAAAAAAGAACUCUAAUCUCCAGAGAAACUAGAAUCCUGCUUUCACACAAUGUCCCUGGUAACAUUUUGAAGAACAGCAAUUCUUAAAGCAUAGAAGGAGAGGUUUGUUUCUGUAAGAGUGGAAAGUAAAUCUCGUCUAAAAGGUCAGUUAUCAGGAACAAACCUCACCAGAUUUUGUGCCAUAUUGUUUAAUUAUAAUGGAGGAUAAUUACUAUGGGAACAUCAGUAACAGCAGUAAUGUCAAUAUUUCAUAAAGCUUUUAUAGAUUACAGGAAUAGAUUGGAAAGUGUUGUAGUUCAUGAAAUAGCAAAAGCUGCUUGGGAAAAUUAUAUUUUUAUGGCAAUGACUCAUGUAGAGCUUUACACCACCUUUCUGGCCUGUGGUGGUCUCUUCAUCAGUUUACAUCUGCAAUGAGUCUUUCAUUUUUCCAAAUUUCAGAAGUCUUUUAAUUACUAUUAUAUGUUGCUGAUGAUCAAAGGUCAGGCCAGAAGCAUUAAGUUUGCCAAAUGAAAUUCGAUGUGUGUAACAUUGACUCUGUACCCCUAAUGUUCUCUGAACUGAGGCACAUCCAUUUGCUGUGAAAAGUUAUCUCUUUCUUAUGCCAUUUAGGGCAUCAUCUUGCAAAAAAACAAUUAAUCACCAAAGAUCCAGCCACUGAGUUCUUGCACAGAAAAUACUCAGCACUGGCAGGACAAGAUCCAGAGAGAAAACAGCUUAAGAAAUUUUUUCCUUACUCUGAAAGUAUGUACAUAUUUAUGAGAUGAGCUAGCUUUGGCACCUUGCAGAGCUCCUAGCUGCAAAAGCGGUAACCGCUGGAGUGAUUCAGUAGCCAGUUGUGUUCAGCGCAGCCAGAUAUGUUGCUGCUGACAGAAAAUAAGAACCCCACCACAAGAAAUGAAUGGGAAGUGCUGUAUGGUGUAAAACGUGCCUUAGAGAGCAGAAGCUCCUUGUCCUAAGUCCCCUGCUGGAGGUUUUUUGGGGGUUGGGUCCACCUGUGCUAUGUGAGGCCAAAUCCAGAAGUACUGCUGCUUUGUCACUACAAAAAUAACUUAUCAAUCCCGUCAACACAACCAAACUGUCAUUAAUACGUUCGUGUUUCUGAAAUGAUUCAGAGAACAGGAACAUAUUUCAGAGUGUAAGUCUGUGGGAAAUGAUUUGAGUAUUUUUUUUUGCUUGUCCAGAUUUUGCAUGAUCACGUUUCUACAUGUGGAUGUGGUGGUUUCUAAUCUCAUGGCUUCAAAGAUGUCUGUUCCAGAUAUUCCUGGUAUGGUUAUGAGGUGGAUGCUUCUUCCUGACGAGACGCAUGUUCAAAACCCCUGACUUGAUGUUCAUGCCAGGACAUUCAUUGCAAUUACCCUGAUUUGACAGCAACCGUUAAAGGAAAUAAAAAUGACAGCUUUGGAGCAGUCCUGUCGUGCAGCAUGAUGGCUCUUGGCAGCAGGAGACCUAAUCACCCUCCUGAAGAUGUCUGUUGAGAUCCCACGUCUGAAUAGCAAAGUGCUCAACAAAGCCACUGCACACCUGAGAUCUCCACCCAAGAAAGGCAGUGUCACUGAAAUGAAGUUGCACAAAACACAUCUUACAGUGGCAGGAUUUCUAUGAGACGAGCCCCGCUACCUUUGUACAGGAAAGUAAGGUGAUGGUAGACUGCCUGAGCCCUUGAAUCCAGUUCCCUGAACUUCAAGGCCCCUGUGUGGGAGGUGUCCAGCCAAGGAGGGCCUCCAGACGCGCGUUGUCCAGCUUGUACCAAUGUCAUUGGUACAAGCUUCCUGACGACGUGGUACAUUGCAGAAGGAAGUUGUCAUUGUCCUCACAUUGUACCCUGAGGAAUGGUUGGCAUCUGCAGCAAUACCUGCUCUCUUUCCAGUGUCUCUGGUUUGGUGCUCAAGGAAGUGGAGGGACCUAAUUUCACUAAAGGCUUAGGAAAAUCCUAGUCUGCUAUGAUCAGGAGCUACUGACACCCGCCGGCAGGUGAUGAAUUAGUGCAGCACAGUUGGAGCUACUCAAGGGCUGCAGAUGUGAAUCCUGGAGCUGUUCCUACGUCUAUUUGAGAACUGGAGGAGACAAAUUGGACAUCUGAUUGCUGUCCAUGACUCUUAGGAGGGGGAUGUGCAGAAGACAGAGACAGACUGACCUCAGAGAUGCGUAGGUUUAGCACACAGCAUUCCAUUGUGUCGGCCUGGUCCCAGCUGACUGUCGUUGUGCUUGGCCAUUAAGGACUCGUUCAGCUCUCUGCACUUCCCUGUGUGGCCCAUGGUGCAGCACAGUACAUUGGAAAGCAGUAGCCACUGCAACAUGACGUGGCACCUGAAAACUCAAAGGAGACACAGGCUUAUGCUGACUGUACAACUGUAUGGUUGGUAUUCUUCCUUUACACCUGCUCUGAAAGCAGGAAAAAACAGGUCUUAAGUGUAAUUCUAGCAGAAGAUAAUAAGACUUCUGCUUGUGUCAGAGGUGGUUUUUGGAUGCUGCUGGUGGUAUGCCCAAUCCGAGGGGACAGCUGAUUCAGCCACUGUGCAGUGCUGCUGGCCUGUUACAUCUGAGCAGCCCUCUGGAGCCUAGACAAGGUAAGAAGAAGUUAAGUGAGAUCCUGCAGCGGCUCAUUCAGCUGGGUGAGAUGCAUUUCAGCUUUGCAAGACCCCACAAACCAUCCUCACCAUUUCUAAGAAGCUCUGAGAAAUGGUUCCAAGCCAGAACUCGGGUGGCGGGGAGAAGAGGCACUAACACAAGUGUAACGGGGAACUAAGGAAAUAGCCUGCUGCUGCCAUGGAAGUGGAGAGGAUACCUCGGAGAGUCACUUCGGAUUUCCAGCUGCAGGAAUAUGUUGUUAUGAAUCUCUAUCAGAGCACUUGUAGUGCAGCUGGAGAGUAUGUCUGACAUUGCCUCCAGUGACCUUUUCAAUACAGUCCAAGUGCUGCAGAGCUGGUGUUUCAAGAGGAAUUCAAAUCGAAUUUACUCAGGCAGAAAGGAUUGGCCUGGGGAUAGCCCUACCACUCGCUUUGCGUUUCUCCUUGUCAUUCUCAUGGAAAUUGCAAUUCUUUAUGCAUGGUGCUUCUUCCUGUGCCGCAGCAAAUGUGUCCCAUUAAAUGGCAGCAACAGUACUGUGCUUCUCCAAGAGGCCCCAGGAUGAGGACACAGCAGUGGGGUGCUGAGGCUGUUUGCAGACGGUGCUGGCAGCAGCAGGAGUUGGAGGAUGGAGGUGCAGACUUCAGCACAACCCAUCUAAAGGUCACGGCAUGGCAAUGCGCCCUGGCACCCAAAAUUGGCUGGUGCACAUCAGGCACCCACUAAACGUGCAGCUCGUUGGCCUGUGAUGUGAACAGCAGAAGUUUGUAUAAGCUCCAGAGGCAGGUAGGGAAAUGCGCAGGGGAGAAAUUCACCUGGGGCUCUGCAAGACAGAGAGAGAGCCAGGCAGGAACAGCCAAGGAGCAACAUUGCGGUGUGUAACACUCGUGGCUCUGAGGUGAGGUCCCUGCCUUGCUGCAGGCAAGCCGUGAGUGUUGGGGGGGAAAUGUUGGUUUUCUUCCCGCGCUUUCCUGGCAUGGUGUGAUUAUUUCAUACAUGUUUGUAUGAGAGGUGCUUUAAAAUGUAAUUUCUUUGAUUAAUUUGGUGUCUGUAUUUUCACUGUUUUGUUCGCUCCAAUUUAUGACAAAAUUGAACAAAGUGGGUAACAAAAUAUAGCCCUGUCAGGCUCCUGUCUUCACGGAUAUAAAGAAAAAUGUGAAACUGUCAGGCACACAAAUGUGCCAAACCCCAAGGAAAAUUAUUACAUUCUGCUUGACAUUUACUUUAAUUUUACAAAAUUCUGUAAUACCAUUAUAAAUAAUAAUAAUAAAAAGCGGCAUGGAAAUAUU
This is a non-coding RNA of Anas platyrhynchos (mallard), 15795 nucleotides long. NCBI's taxonomy places the organism in Eukaryota, Metazoa, Chordata, Aves, Anseriformes, Anatidae. The record is from RefSeq and is a predicted model, not a curated record.